Molecule: ribosomal RNA, 231 nt
Filed under: Vibrio parahaemolyticus
Lineage: Bacteria; Pseudomonadati; Pseudomonadota; Gammaproteobacteria; Vibrionales; Vibrionaceae
Description: partial 16S ribosomal RNA
Rfam family: Bacterial small subunit ribosomal RNA
Source: RNAcentral
CCGGAUUGGAGUCUGCAACUCGACUCCAUGAAGUCGGAAUCGCUAGUAAUCGUGGAUCAGAAUGCCACGGUGAAUACGUUCCCGGGCCUUGUACACACCGCCCGUCACACCAUGGGAGUGGGCUGCAAAAGAAGUAGGUAGUUUAACCUUCGGGGGGACGCUUACCACUUUGUGGUUCAUGACUGGGGUGAAGUCGUAACAAGGUAGCGCUAGGGGAACCUGGCGCUGGAU